GACGAACGCUGGCGGCGUGCUUAACACAUGCAAGUCGAACGGAAAGGCCCUGCUUUUGUGGGGUGCUCGAGUGGCGAACGGGUGAGUAACACGUGAGUAACCUGCCCUUGUCUUUGGGAUAACUUCAGGAAACUGGGGCUAAUACCGGAUAGGAGCUCCCGCUGCAUGGUGGGGGUUGGAAAUUUUCGGCGGUUGGGGUUGGUCUCGCGGCUUAUCAGCUUGUUGGUGGGGUAGUGGCUUACCAAGGCUUUGACGGGUAGCCGGCCUGAGAGGGUGACCGGCCACAUUGGGCCUGAGGUACGGCCCAGACUCCUACGGGAGGCAGCAGUGGGGAAUAUUGCACAAUGGGCGGAAGCCUGAUGCAGCAGCGCCGGGUUCGGGAUGACGGCCUUCGGGUUGUGAACCGCUUUCGCCUGUGACGAAGCGUGAGUGACGGUAAUGGGUAAAGAAGCACCGGCUAACUACGUG
RNAcentral lists this ribosomal RNA (468 nucleotides) under uncultured bacterium. RNAcentral describes it as "partial 16S ribosomal RNA". It matches the Rfam family "Bacterial small subunit ribosomal RNA", at positions 28 to 507 of the family's 1533-position model. The record is from RNAcentral.